Non-coding RNA from Heterocephalus glaber (naked mole-rat), 631 nucleotides. NCBI's taxonomy places the organism in Eukaryota, Metazoa, Chordata, Mammalia, Rodentia, Bathyergidae. The record is from RefSeq and is a predicted model, not a curated record.
UCUUGUUACCAGGCAACACAAAAUCUGUAACCUGAAACCCAGCAAGCAUGUAAAUUCCCUUACAAGCCUCCCAGAUGUCCUCACUUCAGGGCCAACAGCUCAGUUUCAGUUUCAAUUUGUUUAUUUACUCUUCUCCAGUCACCAGUGUGGACCUGAGAAUGUUGGAAGAGAGAGGAGAAAGCAAAGGAAAAUGGGAAAAGGAGGGAUUGUGUUUUCUGCACGGGGUGGCAGCCAACAGGAGAGAGAACCAAGGACCUUGCCCCUUCUGCAGAGCUUCUGUGUUGACACAUGAAAUCAGGAUCAAGAAGAAGCUCUGUGCUCAAGAAUAGGAUGCAGUAUCAGAAGGGUCAAGAAGGAAUAUAAAUCUGACCAACACAACACUGUAUCUGCAUCUGACAUUUCAGCUCUUCUCAGUCAACCGUUUCCUGUAGGAGGGAGAGAGAUUACAACUUUGAAGUGAAUACUGAGCAGUAUUUUUCUGAUGUGAAGAUAAUGGAUGUACACAUAUAAAUCCUCAUGACACUAAUAGAUUCACCAUACUACAGAAGAAAGAAAGCAGAUGUUGCUCACAGACGCCUCCCUGGCUGGGACGGGAUGUUCGAAAUCAGCUCAAGCUGAGUCUCACUGCAGA